AGUGAUGGGCGAAGUCGUAACAAGGUAGCUGUAGGUGAACCUGCAGAAGGGUCA
RNAcentral lists this ribosomal RNA (54 nucleotides) under uncultured eukaryote. RNAcentral's name for it is "partial small subunit ribosomal RNA". The record is from RNAcentral.